Molecule: long non-coding RNA, 2812 nt
Organism: Anguilla rostrata (American eel)
Lineage: Eukaryota; Metazoa; Chordata; Actinopteri; Anguilliformes; Anguillidae
Exons: 4
Source: RefSeq, a predicted model, not a curated record
GCUUCACUGAGGGUGUCUAAAGAAGUGCGCGGAGAGAAGAGAAAAUGGUGGAUCACGAGUGAAAUCACGUUUUUCCUGUGGGAUAAAAAAGUAGACUUUAGCUAAAGUAAACCUUGAAAAAGGAAACGUAUAUCAAAACGGACAGCUUUGCCAAAGUUUACGUGUUCUCUUUGUUGUUUUAACGUGCGUUUAAGUUACAGAGCGCUCUCUUCGCGGCUGCUGUGGAUAACUUGUGCUAUCAGAUGCAAUGGCGGGAUUCGUUUCAGAAAUGGACAUGGACUGAAAGCAACAGAGGCUUCGUCAGUGCCGUGAGUUUCAAGAGGAGACAAAUUACAUUGCUGAAGAGAGUAGCAAAGGUGUAUUCUCUGGGCAGACGUUUUGAAAAGCUAAAGUUUAGUAACCACCGUUGCCUAAGAGCUGGUAUUGUAGUGUUUUAAGUUUCAGUUCCAUUGUACCUCGCCAUUAACGUUACAUGCGGUACGCGCAUGGUAAUUCCCAGUGAGUGCGUUUAUUGAGGUUGUGAUCGUUAACGUUAAAGUGUUUGGAAGACGGCGAAUACAGUUUAAAGACGAUCACAGAAAAAUACGGAACUGUGCAUUCAUUUUGGAUUGAGGAGUAGCGAGUGUUACCGGUGAUCUGGACACACGGAGGAAUCGAGGGAGAUAGAUUGAACUGCGCCGUAGUGUGAAACACACGCACACUGGAGCAUCCAUCGUUCAUUAGAACUCUAUCGAAGAGGAGAAGUUCCCUGCCAUCCAAAGACAUCUCCCAGCGACUCAUCUCAUCUCAAGUCUACAGAAUGACAGUCUGUGCUCUGAGAGGAAUCAGGCCCCGGAGUCCCACAUAGCCCAACCCUGAUGAGAUGUGGCACCUCAAAUUGAUAUUGCCUAAAAGAAUUCAGCUUAAACCCAGUGGCACCACAGCACUCCUUGAUCCAACAACAGUUUACAACCACUGACAGUAACCUGACCAUCAUCUUCGGCUACGCGGUGCAGGACUGGCAGCCAUACCACGGGCUGGGGCUCCAAGCGCAUCCAGUCCACAAAGUGCCCCAGGUCCAGCUCUGCCCUGCAGUUCACCUGGUGGGGGGUGGAGCCACACACAGGAAACAAGCUCACUUCACAUCCUGCGGCCACCGGGAUCAACUAGAGCACAGCGGGUGAAGCUAAUUAAAAGGCUUUAUUCUUUAGAUUACACUCUCUCCAAGAAAAAAGAUGUGAAGAACAUGAUACCAGAUCACUUAGUCCAGUUUUAAAGACUUUCAGAGAACUGGAGUUCACAUUCAGCUCAGCUAUGAGGAAAACUGAACUGUAAAUGCAGGUGUUGAUUGUCAAGCAUAAUCAUCAGCUGCACUCUAAAUGUGGUUUCAUGCCUUUGCUAAACAGAUGUCCGACUGCACUGAUAACAAGGGAUGAGUCAAGGCGUUUGUUCCACCAGCAACAAAAGUUACAAUUCCAGUGAACUCCUCAGGAGAACUUCUAAAUUUUGAACUUCCAAAAUAUCUAGCAUUAGAUCUGGGAGCAAACUACAACACCAUUCUUGACUACUGACUACUGAGCAUUAUGACUCUUCAUUGUUGAUUUUAACAUUAUGAAAUCUGCUGGCUGUUAGCCCCAAAUUAACAUCAUCAUUUGUAUCACCUUUGCCAUUGACAGGUUGCAGUUAAUGCUUGCAAUGCCACCUGAUUCUCAAUUCGAUUGAGCCAACUUACACGCUUGCUUCUGCUUUCCACUGCGAGGGAUGGCAAGACGUCUCUGUCAGAAUUUAAACAGGCGCAGCUAACCUUAUUAGCGCGAAGGCUUAUUUUUGUCCACACAGGGCAGCGCUGCCACCGUCAUUGCCACCUUUUCUGUUUCUCUCCGUCCCCAUAUCAGAGACCUAUCACUAAAGUUAUGGAUUGAUAAUGACAGGCACAUAAAACACCGGAUGAUCGGUUCCCCUCCCUUUCUCAUCACAUGGUACAUUAAAUAAAAUGCACCUCGCCGUGACGGGAGGAAAACAUUACAGCACACGGCCGGCCGGCUCCAAGGGCCCUGGCAGAACUGCCAUCCCUGUUUAUAAAUGCACUAUUAAACUGCUGAUGUCCACAAUGUCAGUGUCUCUUCGUCACUAAUGGCAUCAGCAGAAUAUUUUUGGAGCGGGGAGAGAAAUAGUGUUAAUUUAGCUGGAUACAGCACACAGUUCUGGAAGCAUAGUCAGACUGCAAGAAAACCUAGUAAAAGAAAGGGGUGGUGUAUUUUGAGAGUAAAAAAAUAAUUGUGUUGUGGAUUAAUCUUUACCAUUCAUCCCCUCAGAAAGCAAGCCAAAUCCAUAUGAAACUAUCUGAAAAAGCCUACAUUUCUGAUUUACUUUGUAAUACCCAAAAUGCUAUUGUCCACUGUCGUGAAAUUGUUUCACCCUUGCCUGAAGUUCUUAAAACUGGUUUUGUGCAUUUGAUUUGAUUAGUAUGAAUGAACAGCUCUUAUGAAUGCUAUUUAUCCUGUGCCAAUGGGUACAUGUGUAAACACCUAUAUUACAUUACCAGAAAGACUGCCAAGCAGUUACUUCAAUAUUUUUUUGCUCGGUAUUGAGCUUUUUUGCAAGAAACUGGGCCAAAAUAGAGUAGAUAUUCAAUCCUGAAACAAAAACACUGAUUUCUGCAUGAAAGGAAAUGUGCCAAAGAGGUUUAACAGAAAUGUAAGGACAUAGAUAUCCAUUGAAAAUUUGUAGGAUAAACUGAACCGGAAUUACCUUAACAUUUUUGAUUCAUGCAGCCUGUACAACCAUAAAAUGCUUAUUUUGUGUCUAAUAAAAGAAAAUAAGCAAUAAUAAA